UACAGAGGGUGCGAACGUUGCUCGGAAUUACUGGGCGUAAAGCGCAUGUAGGCGGUCUUGUAAGUCGGACGUGAAAGCCCGGGGCUCAACCCCGGAAGGGCGCUCGAUACUGCUUGACUUGGGUUCUGAAGAGGAGAGCGGAAUUCCCGGUGUAGAGGUGAAAUUCGUAGAUAUCGGGAGGAACCCCAGUGGCGAAGGCGGCUCUCUGGGCAGAUACCGACGCUGAGAUGCGAAAGCGUGGGAAGCAAACAGG
RNAcentral lists this ribosomal RNA (253 nucleotides) under uncultured bacterium. RNAcentral describes it as "partial 16S ribosomal RNA". It matches the Rfam family "Bacterial small subunit ribosomal RNA", at positions 524 to 776 of the family's 1533-position model. The record is from RNAcentral.